UAUUUCCUCUUACUCUAAACUUUUUUCUUCGUAACCCUCGUCGAGAAGACAACCCUCCCAUGUCACCUCCUUCAUCGGUCGUGACCCUUCCCUCGACAUCGUCCUCUCCCGCCUUAAACUCACUAGCAACCCCUUUCAUCACGACCAUGGCCACGAUUUCACCUUCAUCGUCCAUGCCUUCACCUCAUCCGCACAGAAACCCUAGACGAUGCAUUCUUCUCCGGUGACGAUGACAACGAUCACCACCUCUUUGGCUCCAUCCCUAAAUCCCUCGCCAACGCCACCUUUCUCACCCUUUAUCCCUUCCCUCACAUCCGAAUUCUUUGAUCUCCUCACCGAUGACAAAGUUUAGGUUUUCGAAGUCAUUCGCUCAUAAACCACCUUCAUGACCAAGUAUUAUCCUCUUUAUCGUUGUGAAUGUCUCCAACUCCACGGUGUCACCCUCACUUAGGACCACUUUUUUUCCAAACCCUCUUUUGCCUCUCAUACCACUCUAAGAUAGCCCUUUCCCUUCUCCCACGCGUUCUACACACUCCUCGUCAAUUCCAUGGCAAGGGUUUUCCAAUUUGACGUUGCAAGACAACCUCCACCAAACCUUUUCACUUUCAUAACCCUAAUUCGUCUCCUCGUACCCGCAGUUUGUUUUACACAAUGUGCCUUCUACGCUUCAAUGCAUUUGCCAAAACGACACCCAAAGAGUUAUGGUUCUUGCUAGAAACAGACUCGCCGAUUUUCACCCCUCACAUUUGACACCUUUGGACAUUGAUUUCUUUUGGAUCUAACUAUUAUACUAUAAUAUAAAUAUAAACUAUUUGUUUUCAUGUUUAUGUCAUUGCAGGUUUCUUUUUAGGUUGCUAGUACUCUGGAGCAACCAUUCCCUAAUAGGCAGUUUGAUUUGGUGUGGUCUAUGGAUAGUGGAAAGCACAUGCCUGACAAAAUUAAGGAUUAUAAUCUGCAUUGGCAAUUCAUGGUGUUGGAAACUACAACCCUUCUCCAUGUCAUGUAUUUGUAGUUGUUUUAAAGGGUAAGAUUAAGCAAGAAAGCAUACUAAGUGAAAAUGGUACCCACCAAGGAAGAGGAAUCCAUGCUCUUUUGAAGGGUUCGUGAGAACAAUGCUAGAUGUGCCAUAUGCCUUUCAAAGUGUAGAAGACAUUCUUUUGGGAGAGACAUUUGGCGAUGAAAUAGUUCACCUGAGACAACUUACAUAUUGAUUUGUACGUCUACAUUUUUUUGUACUUAUUUUCCAUCAAAAUUAGAAUUUUGAGCUGUCAAAUGAUAAGAUAAAACUAUCUUAGGGAUUUGAUACUGAUAUACAUUUUUGACAAAUUAAAGUUAUUUAAAAAAUUAUAGUUA
This is a long non-coding RNA of Vigna unguiculata (cowpea), 1353 nucleotides long. RefSeq lists it as uncharacterized. NCBI's taxonomy places the organism in Eukaryota, Viridiplantae, Streptophyta, Magnoliopsida, Fabales, Fabaceae. The record is from RefSeq and is a predicted model, not a curated record.